GGUCGAUUAGCUCAGUUGGUUAGAGCGUGGUGCUAAUACCUCUGGUAUUGAAACGCCAAGGUCGCGGGUUCGACCCCCUCAUUGACCA
This is a transfer RNA of Pseudocercospora fijiensis CIRAD86, 88 nucleotides long. It matches the Rfam family "tRNA". From Rfam's summary of the family: Transfer RNA (tRNA) molecules are approximately 80 nucleotides in length. Their secondary structure includes four short double-helical elements and three loops (D, anti-codon, and T loops). The record is from Rfam. Lineage: Eukaryota; Fungi; Ascomycota; Dothideomycetes; Mycosphaerellales; Mycosphaerellaceae.